This 74-nucleotide transfer RNA is filed under the name Bacteroidota bacterium. RNAcentral describes it as "Bacteroidetes bacterium (activated sludge metagenome) tRNA-Arg". It matches the Rfam family "tRNA". Rfam says of the family: Transfer RNA (tRNA) molecules are approximately 80 nucleotides in length. Their secondary structure includes four short double-helical elements and three loops (D, anti-codon, and T loops). The record is from RNAcentral. Lineage: Bacteria; Pseudomonadati; Bacteroidota. RNAcentral also lists the same sequence under 1 other name.
GGCUCUGUAGCUUAACUGGAUAGAGCACUUCGUUACGGCCGAAGAGGUUCGGGGUUCGAAUCCCUGCAGAGUCA